RNAcentral lists this ribosomal RNA (468 nucleotides) under uncultured bacterium. RNAcentral describes it as "partial 16S ribosomal RNA". It matches the Rfam family "Bacterial small subunit ribosomal RNA", at positions 28 to 507 of the family's 1533-position model. The record is from RNAcentral.
GACGAACGCUGGCGGCGUGCUUAACACAUGCAAGUCGAACGGAAAGGCCCUGCUUUUGUGGGGUGCUCGAGUGGCGAACGGGUGAGUAACACGUGAGUAACCUGCCCUUGACUUUGGGAUAACUUCAGGAAACUGGGGCUAAUACCGGAUAGGAGCUCCUGCUGCAUGUUGGGGGUUGGAAAGUUUCGGCGGUUGGGGAUGGACUCGCGGCUUAUCAGCUUGUUGGUGGGGUAGUGGCUUACCAAGGCUUUGACGGGUAGCCGGCCUGAGCGGGUGACCGGCCACAUUGGGACUGAGAUACGGCCCAGACUCCUACGGGAGGCAGCAGUGGGGAAUAUUGCACAAUGGGCGGAAGCCUGAUGCAGCAACGCCGCGUGCGGGAUGACGGCCUUCGGGGUGUAAACCGCUUUCGCCUGUGACGAAGCGUGAGUGACGGUAAUGGGUAAAGAAGCACCGGCUAACUACGUG